CUUCUCUCUCUCUCUCUCUCUCUCUCUCUCUCUCUGUGUGUGUGUGUAUGUAUGUGUGUGUGUGUGUGUGUGUGAGAGAGAGAGAGAGAGAGAGAGAGAGGAG
Molecule: non-coding RNA, 103 nt
Organism: Podarcis lilfordi (Lilford's wall lizard)
Lineage: Eukaryota; Metazoa; Chordata; Lepidosauria; Squamata; Lacertidae
Source: the annotation of a GenBank genome assembly